Molecule: long non-coding RNA, 2091 nt
Organism: Dreissena polymorpha
Lineage: Eukaryota; Metazoa; Mollusca; Bivalvia; Myida; Dreissenidae
Exons: 3
Source: RefSeq, a predicted model, not a curated record
CGCGCCCGCAUACGGCCCCGGCCCUAGCACCCAACCGCUGAAGACCCUCGAGACAAGCACCCUCAUCCACCCUCUCGCUGCGCGCGACAACAGAUCAGUCAAGAACCAACCAUGGAGCCCCCCAAAGCCCCACCCGGAGUCACCAUCGUUCUUUCCCACCCACCUGCCAAACAUCCAGACCAUGUAUCAAGCUGGGAUGUAUUUAUUUUGUAGUUAUGUUAUAUUUGCUAUUAUAAUUGGAUAGGUAAAGUAAAUAAAUGAUCUCAAAAUGCCGUUGUUAUAUCAUAUGAUUUAUUUAUGUUUUAUAUUAAUUUGUAAAACUCAUAGUAUUAUAGUUUAUGUCCUGUAUUCUAGCUUUCAUUUACCCAAGUGUGGUUAUUGUGCUCUCCGCCCCAUGAGAGGUGUUAGUGGGGGUUCGAGCAGGAUACAGGAAACGCCCCGAUUCCAGAGGCGCCCCUGGUUCUUUUAAGUGCCCGGUGUAUAGCACCGAUACACUGCACCCCCGUUUAACGUCUCUCGCGGAGGACAUAUUAGUACAUAGUGUUAGUAUCGGUACUUAUAUACAUGUGUAGUUCUGCUGUCUUGUGUCAUAUCUUACGGUAACGUGGGCUCUCUCUGUUGCUAUUUGGUAUAUAGUUUGAAUGUUAUUGCGAAGGGCAGGCUAGUUUUUGAAAGAUCAUGUAUUUGAUGAUAGAAGAAAGGGACUAUGUUUGUUUGAUUGGGCCGAUGACUAGUUCGUUGGGGGUAGAAAAUUUCUUUGUAAAUUCUUUCUUAUUGCUGUGUUAAGUGUCUUGUGAGACUGUGGUGUUGUAAGGGCCAGACUAGUUUUGAUAGGUCAUUUAUUUGAUGAAAGAAGAGAGGGCUGAGUUUGAGAUGAUAGUAAAUUUGGUAUUAGGGAGAGCGCACACGUUAGUGUUUCUGGUUAUAAAAGCAAAGACAGCAUUCCUAUGUGUUUUUGUAAUAUGCCAGGUUAGUAUCGUGGUCUGGUCUGGGGCAUAUGAUUCACUGAAAACUGCCCGCUUUAUAUACAGACAGCCCUCUUAAAUGAUCAGUCGCCAAAUACGCAAUCGCUCCGCCCACUAAGUUGUGUUUUCAUAAAACGCUUAUUCCAUUACUCCGUAAGUCUUUGUUUGUCGGACCAUGUGGCCGCAAUAAACGAAAUCUGAUUGAUUAUUACGUGAGUUUGAUUGACAGCUGGCGAGUGGUCAAUUACUUUAAAAAGAGCAUUGUUGUCUGGUUAAGCUUGUUAAUAACCUUAUGUAGUCUUUUAUCACGCCAAACUGUGAUACCAUAUGUCUUACUCAUAAAUCUGUGUCCAGACAAUCAAAGCAUGUCGGCAUAAUUAAUUUUCAUCAACUCACACUUUUACAAAACAUAACUAACACAAAAGCAUUCAAUUAUUCUUCUAUAUUUAAACCAAACUAUCAUACAAUAUGUCUGAUUAAAAAAUCUUUGAACAGAAAAUGAAAGCAUGCCGUCAAAUUAAACGUCGUUUAACAUUUCACGCUUGUUCAGAUUUCAGGGGCGAAUUGUCUUGGGGUGAGAUUUCUUUGGGGCGAGUUGUCUGAUUCCCAUUCCGAAUGGACUUUGAAAGAAACGAACGACAACUUUGUAAGAAAACCCGCCAAUGGGGCUCGCGACCAAUCGGAUGGAUGCUAUGCCUGCUGGGAUCGCCAUGCUCUUUUUCGACGCGGACAGUGGACCCGACAUGACCGACCUAACGGACUCGACUUGACGGACUCGACCUAAUCAAUUUUCUUUAUUCUUAGACUUAAGUCUAAGAAUUGUUUGGUGAAUACGGGCCUAGCAGAUUCUUUUGUGCACGAGAUGCGGUCAAAAAGAAGAAAAGACGAAAGAACCAAUCCAGACUUGGUGGCAGAGGAAAGUAUAAAAAAGAAUGCAGAUCUUGGUGGAUUUUGUGUGGAUACAAUUCCACCUAAAGGUAGAGGAGUUAGAACAGAAGUUCAUAGAAACAAGGGCGACUUUCUCCUUACCUAUCAUGGAGAAUUAAUCACAGGAGAAGAAGGCAAUAAAAGAGAACUAAUGUCUGUCUCUGUCUUCAGAUUCUUCUUUUCUUUCAAAGGGAAGCAG